AUUGAACGCUGGCGGAAUGCUUUACACAUGCAAGUCGAGCGGCAGCGCGGGGGCAACCCUGGCGGCGAGCGGCGAACGGGUGAGUAACACAUCGGAACGUACCCAGUUGUGGGGGAUAGCCCGGCGAAAGCCGGAUUAAUACCGCAUACGACCUGAGGGUGAAAGGGGGGGAUCGCAAGACUUCUAGCAGUUGGAGCGGCCGAUGGCGGAUUAGCUAGUGGGUGAGGUAAAGGCUCACCAAGGCGACGAUCCGUAGCUGGUCUGAGAGGACGACCAGCCACACUGGAACUGAGACACGGUCCAGACUCCUACGGGAGGCAGCAGUGGGGAAUUUUGGACAAUGGGGGCAACCCUGAUCCAGCCAUUCCGCGUGAGUGAAGAAGGCCUUCGGGUUGUAAAGCUCUUUCGGCAGGAACGAAACGGUGGAGGCUAAUACCUUUCAUCAAUGACGGUACCUGAAGAAGAAGCACCAGCUAACUACGUGCCAGCCGCCGCCGUAA
This 500-nucleotide ribosomal RNA is filed under the name uncultured bacterium. Its description in RNAcentral is "partial 16S ribosomal RNA". It matches the Rfam family "Bacterial small subunit ribosomal RNA", at positions 29 to 523 of the family's 1533-position model. The record is from RNAcentral.